RNA transcript from Cebus imitator (Panamanian white-faced capuchin), 1164 nucleotides. It is a transcript of the gene named ATP-dependent Clp protease proteolytic subunit, mitochondrial-like, with no coding region annotated. NCBI's taxonomy places the organism in Eukaryota, Metazoa, Chordata, Mammalia, Primates, Cebidae. The record is from RefSeq and is a predicted model, not a curated record. The transcript has 4 exons.
AUGACAGUGACCCAGAGCAGCCGAGAGGCUGGUCUUCCCAUGGCUCCCCCUCAUCACUUCCUGAAACCUGCUGUAGACUGCCCCAUUUCUACGACUCAACUGCAGCAUCAUACUGGAAGUCUUAUUCAUGCAACCAACGUGUCUCCUCCUGAUUGGAGGUUAGAUAUUGGUGGUGGGGGGGCCCGGGUGGCGGCAGGCAGGUACCCCGCGCUAGGGCUUCCCCUCGCCUCUAGCUUUCCAGCGCAGCAGACGCCGCAGAGCGGCCUGGCCCUGCAGCGGAGCCUGCACGUGACUGCAGCCCCAGCUCUCCUGCUCAUUCCCACCGUGGUGAAGCAGACGGGUGGCCGGGAGCGCGCCUGUGACACCUACUCGUGGCUGCUGCGGGAGCGCAUCGUGUGCGUCAUGGGCCAGAUAGAUGACAGCGUUGCCAGCCUGGUUAUUGCACAGCUCCUCUUCCUGCAAGCCGAGAGCAACAAGAAGCCCAUCCACAUGUACAUCAACAGCCCUGGUGGUGUGGUGACCGCGAGCCUGGCCAUCUACGUCACAACGCAGUAUAUCCUCAACCCAAUCUGCACAAGGUGCAUGGACCAGGCCUCCAGCAUGGACUCCCUGCUUCUCGCCGCCGGCAGCCCCGGCAUACGCCACUCGCUUCUCAACUCCGGCAUCAUGAUUCACCAGCCCUCAGGGGGCGCCAGGGGCCAAGCCACAGACAUUGCCAUCCAGGCAGAGGAGAUCAUGAAGCAAGAAACAGCUCUACAGCAUCUACGCCAAGCACACCAAACAGAGCCUUCAGGUGAUCGAGUCUGCCAUGGAGAGGGACCGCUACAUGAGCCCCAUGGAGGCCCAGGAGUUCAGCAUCUUAGACAAGGUUCUCGUCCACCCUCCCCAGGAUGGUGAAGAUGAGCCCACGCUGGUGGAGAAGGAGCCUGUAGUAGCAGCGCCAUGGCAGACCCUGUCCCAGCAAGCACCUAAGAGCUGGGCCUCGUCUCCAGAAUCAUACGGAGGGGCCAGAGGCCGGCCAGACCCCCAGCUGGGCCCUGCUUACCCCUCGCUGCUGAACCUGGAGGGGCCCCUUGAGGAACUUUGAAUUUGCAAGGGUGCCCCCUAUGGAUGGGGCAUUCCGGCUGAGACACUGUGAUUUUAAAUUAAAUCUUUAUGGUCUUU